GACGAACGCUGGCGGCGUGCCUAAUACAUGCAAGUAGAACGCUGAAGAGAGGAGCUUGCUCUUCUUGGAUGAGUUGCGAACGGGUGAGUAACGCGUAGGUAACCUGCCUUGUAGCGGGGGAUAACUAUUGGAAACGAUAGCUAAUACCGCAUAACAAUGGAUGACACAUGUCAUUUAUUUGAAAGGGGCAAUUGCUCCACUACAAGAUGGACCUGCGUUGUAUUAGCUAGUAGGUGAGGUAACGGCUCACCUAGGCGACGAUACAUAGCCGACCUGAGAGGGUGAUCGGCCACACUGGGACUGAGACACGGCCCAGACUCCUACGGGAGGCAGCAGUAGGGAAUCUUCGGCAAUGGGGGCAACCCUGACCGAGCAACGCCGCGUGAGUGAAGAAGGUUUUCGGAUCGUAAAGCUCUGUUGUAAGUCAAGAACGAGUGUGAGAGUGGAAAGUUCACACUGUGACGGUAGCUUACCAGAAAGGGACGGCUAACUACGUGCCAGCAGCCGCGGUAAUACGUAGGUCCCGAGCGUUGUCCGGAUUUAUUGGGCGUAAAGCGAGCGCAGGCGGUUUGAUAAGUCUGAAGUUAAAGGCUGUGGCUCAACCAUAGUUCGCUUUGGAAACUGUCAAACUUGAGUGCAGAAGGGGAGAGUGGAAUUCCAUGUGUAGCGGUGAAAUGCGUAGAUAUAUGGAGGAACACCGGUGGCGAAAGCGGCUCUCUGGUCUGUAACUGACGCUGAGGCUCGAAAGCGUGGGGAGCGAACAGGAUUAGAUACCCUGGUAGUCCACGCCGUAAACGAUGAGUGCUAGGUGUUGGAUCCUUUCCGGGAUUCAGUGCCGCAGCUAACGCAUUAAGCACUCCGCCUGGGGAGUACGACCGCAAGGUUGAAACUCAAAGGAAUUGACGGGGGCCCGCACAAGCGGUGGAGCAUGUGGUUUAAUUCGAAGCAACGCGAAGAACCUUACCAGGUCUUGACAUCCCGAUGCUAUUUCUAGAGAUAGAAAGUUACUUCGGUACAUCGGUGACAGGUGGUGCAUGGUUGUCGUCAGCUCGUGUCGUGAGAUGUUGGGUUAAGUCCCGCAACGAGCGCAACCCCUAUUGUUAGUUGCCAUCAUUCAGUUGGGCACUCUAGCGAGACUGCCGGUAAUAAACCGGAGGAAGGUGGGGAUGAUGUCAAAUCAUCAUGCCCCUUAUGACCUGGGCUACACACGUGCUACAAUGGUUGGUACAACGAGUUGCGAGUCGGUGACGGCAAGCUAAUCUCUUAAAGCCAAUCUCAGUUCGGAUUGUAGGCUGCAACUCGCCUACAUGAAGUCGGAAUCGCUAGUAAUCGCGGAUCAGCACGCCGCGGUGAAUACGUUCCCGGGCCU
Molecule: ribosomal RNA, 1369 nt
Filed under: uncultured bacterium
Lineage: Bacteria
Description: bacterial SSU rRNA
Rfam family: Bacterial small subunit ribosomal RNA
Source: RNAcentral